AUUGAACGCUGGCGGCAGGCUUAACACAUGCAAGUCGAGCGGAGACGAGGUGCUUGCACCUUAUCUUAGCGGCGGACGGGUGAGUAAUGCUUAGGAAUCUGCCUAUUAGUGGGGGACAACAUUCCGAAAGGAAUGCUAAUACCGCAUACGUCCUACGGGAGAAAGCAGGGGAUCCUCGGACCUUGCGCUAAUAGAUGAGCCUAAGUCGGAUUAGCUAGUUGGUGGGGUAAAGGCCUACCAAGGCGACGAUCUGUAGCGGGUCUGAGAGGAUGAUCCGCCACACUGGGACUGAGACACGGCCCAGACUCCUACGGGAGGCAGCAGUGGGGAAUAUUGGACAAUGGGGGGAACCCUGAUCCAGCCAUGCCGCGUGUGUGAAGAAGGCCUUAUGGUUGUAAAGCACUUUAAGCGAGGAGGAGGCUACUGAGACUAAUACUCUUGGAUAGUGGACGUUACUCGCAGAAUAAGCACCGGCUAACUCUGUGCCAGCCGCCGCAGUAA
This 501-nucleotide ribosomal RNA is filed under the name uncultured bacterium. RNAcentral describes it as "partial 16S ribosomal RNA". It matches the Rfam family "Bacterial small subunit ribosomal RNA", at positions 30 to 523 of the family's 1533-position model. The record is from RNAcentral.